UGAGUCCUCCGGGUGACCGCGGUCGGGGUGUUUCGGCACACCCGGCUGAGGAAGGUCGGGGCUCCACAGGACGACGGUGCUGGCGAGAGCCAGGCGGGGGUGACCUCGCGGACCGGGCAACAGAGAGCAGACCGCCGAUGGCCGGGUUCGCCCGGCACAGGUGAGGCUGAAACGGUGCGGUAAGAGCGCACCAGCGGUCGGGGUGACCCGGCCGGCUAGGCAACCCCCACCGGGAGCAAGGCCAAACAGAGGGCAGGGCGGUCCGUCCGCCCCUCUUCGGAGGGACCCUCAGGUGGGCCGCACAGAUGGAUGGUCACCGAACCGGACCCCCGCAAGGGACCGGGGAACAGAACCCCGCCUACAGGGGGGCUCACCGU
RNAcentral lists this RNase P RNA (377 nucleotides) under Acidimicrobiales bacterium. RNAcentral's name for it is "RNase P RNA component class A". It matches the Rfam family "Bacterial RNase P class A". From Rfam's summary of the family: Ribonuclease P (RNase P) is a ubiquitous endoribonuclease, found in archaea, bacteria and eukarya as well as chloroplasts and mitochondria. Its best characterised activity is the generation of mature 5'-ends of tRNAs by cleaving the 5'-leader elements of precursor-tRNAs. RNAcentral also lists the same sequence under 1 other name. Lineage: Bacteria; Bacillati; Actinomycetota; Acidimicrobiia; Acidimicrobiales. The record is from RNAcentral.